AUGGCCGUGGCGACUCGGUCUUCUAGGGUGAAGAUACGAAGGAAGGAGAUGAGGUGGGAUGCAGAGAAGAGAAGGGAGAAUAGGGACUGCGCGGCUACCAGCUGCAGGUCCGGCGGCGGCUCUGGUCAUCGGAUCCAGCCGCUCCCCGUCUCCCUGCGUCGUCCCAAGAUGGUCCGGCUGGGCGCCGCCCUGACGGCCGAGCGUGUGCUAUCCACGGAACGCGGCUCCUCCACCCAGGCCAUCCUCCACAACGCCAGCGAGGACACUACUUUGUCCAAACGAUCAUCACGACCACGCGCAGGUACACACACAUGUGCUCCCCUGGUUUAUUUUGAUGCCUUUUUGCGACAUGUCUGUUAUGUUUCAGAAUCUUUUUGA
RNAcentral lists this ribosomal RNA (378 nucleotides) under Triticum aestivum (bread wheat). Its description in RNAcentral is "partial small subunit ribosomal RNA". The record is from RNAcentral. Lineage: Eukaryota; Viridiplantae; Streptophyta; Magnoliopsida; Poales; Poaceae.